Dendroctonus ponderosae (mountain pine beetle) is the source of this 791-nucleotide long non-coding RNA. RefSeq lists it as uncharacterized. NCBI's taxonomy places the organism in Eukaryota, Metazoa, Arthropoda, Insecta, Coleoptera, Curculionidae. The record is from RefSeq and is a predicted model, not a curated record. The transcript is spliced from 2 exons.
UGCUGAAUCAUUUUAAUUUGUGCAUUACGAGGUAACAAGCCUAGAAAAUCAGUCGAUGAACAAGUUUUAAUUCGUUUUAGAAGACUCAGGAUGUAUGAAGUGUUAAAUUAAUUAUCCAUACUGUUAAGUAAAUUGUCGUUUAAUUGCAUGAAGUAAUCAACCCAAUGUACUGUGAAGAAAGAAAGCAAAUAUAAGUACAACACAAUAGAAUUAGAUGGGCUGUUUCCAUUAAACACUGAACAAGCAUUCCGAGAAAUACUGCAAGGAACAUCGAAGAGAAGGCCAAAAUCAAGCACAAAAUUAAAGUUUCGUCAAAACCCAAUUCAACAGAUCGGCCAUAAAAACAUCGUAAAUAAAACGUAGUAACUAAAUCUUCAAUGAGCGCUGGAAAUGUUAAUUAUUUAAUUAGUGCAUAGGUGUUACGAACUAAAACAGUCACAGUGUUCAUGUCAGUUAUUUUACGGUUUAAGAGAACUUGUUUAAGAUUGCUUAAUCGUUUAGUUGUUUUAUAAUUAAAUUUUUACAACCUGGAAGUAAAGGUUAAAAACCUGACAAUCUCAAAGUCUGGGUCUUUUGAAUGCUUCUUUGUAUUUUAAGUUAUUACAGCAGUUGAAUAUAAAUUCGUCAGCCGUAUUCAAAGCUUGUUUGGUAAAUGAAGGCGCUGUUAAAUCAUUGUUAGAGAAACAUUCUGAAAACGAAAUUUGUAUGCUAUUCAGCAACGAUGUAUUUUUAUUCAAAAAAUGAGUGAGCGUUUCCCAUAGUUUUCAAUAAAUGAUGCAACAAACGCAGCC